AAGUCGUAACAAGGUUUCCGUAGGUGAACCUGCGGAAGGAUCAUUAACGAAUAUAAUUCAGAGGGGCUGUAGCUGGCUUCGGAAACGAGGCAUGUGCACGCUCUUCUGUCUUUCAUAACUCACCUGUGCACCUAAUGUAGGAUGCUCCUCCUUCGGGAGGGGGGGCCUAUGUCUUCAUACGCCUCUUCGUGUAGAAAGUCUUAGAAUGUUUACUAUCAGAGAGUCGCGACUUCUAGGAGACGCGAAUCUCUGAGACAAAGUUAAUUACAA
Molecule: unclassified non-coding RNA, 270 nt
Filed under: plant metagenome
Description: partial contains small subunit ribosomal RNA and internal transcribed spacer 1
Rfam family: Eukaryotic small subunit ribosomal RNA (bases 1-46)
Source: RNAcentral